AUUGAACGCUGGCGGCAGGCCUAACACAUGCAAGUCGAACGAUUGGCGGACGGGUGUGUAAUGUCUGGGAAACUGCCCGAUGGCCGGGGCUAACUACUGGCCACGGUCGCUAAUACCGCAUACCAUCGGAUGUGCCCCGAUGGGAUUAGCUAGUAGGUGGGGUAACGGCUAACCUAGGCGACGAUCCCUAGCUGGUCUGAGAGGAUGACCAGCCACACUGGAACUGAGACACGGUCCAGACUCCUACGGGAGGCAGCGGUGGUGAAUAUUGGACAAUGGGAGAAAGGCGGAUGCAGCCAUGCCGCGUGGAUGAAGAAGGACAUGGGGAUGAGAAGUAGUUAGAGUGAGGAGGCGUUACUGGGAGAAGAAGCGCCGGCUAACUCCGUGCCAGCCGCCGCGGUAAUUC
This 406-nucleotide ribosomal RNA is filed under the name uncultured bacterium. RNAcentral's name for it is "partial 16S ribosomal RNA". It matches the Rfam family "Bacterial small subunit ribosomal RNA", at positions 29 to 526 of the family's 1533-position model. The record is from RNAcentral.